GAUGAACGCUGGCGGCGUGCCUAAUACAUGCAAGUCGAGCGAACGGACGAGAAGCUUGCUUCUCUGAUGUUAGCGGCGGACGGGUGAGUAACACGUGGAUAACCUACCUAUAAGACUGGGAUAACUUCGGGAAACCGGAGCUAAUACCGGAUGAUAUUUUGAACCGCAUGGUUCAAAAGUGAAAGACGGUCUUGCUGUCACUUAUAGAUGGAUCCGCGCUGCAUUAGCUAGUUGGUAAGGUAACGGCUUACCAAGGCAACGAUGCAUAGCCGACCUGAGAGGGUGAUCGGCCACACUGGAACUGAGACACGGUCAAGACUCCUACGGGAGGCAGCAGUAGGGAAUCUUCCGCAAUGGGCGAAAGCCUGACGGAGCAACGCCGCGUGAGUGAUGAAGGUCUUCGGAUCGUAAAACUCUGUUAUUAGGGAAGAACAUAUGUGUAAGUAACUGUGCACAUCUUGACGGUACCUAAUCAGAAAGCAACGGCUAACUACGUG
Molecule: ribosomal RNA, 497 nt
Filed under: uncultured bacterium
Lineage: Bacteria
Description: partial 16S ribosomal RNA
Rfam family: Bacterial small subunit ribosomal RNA
Source: RNAcentral